AACGAACGCUGGCGGCAGGCCUAACACAUGCAAGUCGAACGCUCGUAGCAAUACGGGAGUGGCAGACGGGUGAGUAACACGUGGGAACCUUCCCUAUGGUUCGGAAUAGCUCAGGGAAACUUGGGGUAAUACCGGAUAAGCCCUUCGGGGAAGGAUUUAUCGCCAUUGGAUGGGCCCGCGUCGGAUUAGCUAGUUGGUGAGGUAACGGCUCACCAAGGCAACGAUCCGUAGCUGGUCUGAGAGGAUGAUCAGCCACACUGGGACUGAGACACGGCCCACGACUCCUACGGGAGGGCAGCAGUGGGGAAGUCUUGCGCAAUGGGCGAAGACCUGACGCAGCGACGCCGUGUGAGGGA
RNAcentral lists this ribosomal RNA (356 nucleotides) under uncultured bacterium. RNAcentral's name for it is "bacterial SSU rRNA". It matches the Rfam family "Bacterial small subunit ribosomal RNA", at positions 29 to 408 of the family's 1533-position model. The record is from RNAcentral.